ACAACUUUUAACAAUGGAUCUCUUGGCUCUUGCAUCGAUGAAGAACGCAGCGAAAUGCGAUAAGUAAUGUGAAUUGCAGAAUUCAGUGAAUCAUCGAAUCUUUGAACGCACCUUGCGCUCUCUGGUAUUCCGGGGAGCACGCCUGUUCGAGUGU
This 154-nucleotide ribosomal RNA is filed under the name Hydnum sp. GD1584. RNAcentral's name for it is "5.8S ribosomal RNA". It matches the Rfam family "5.8S ribosomal RNA". From Rfam's summary of the family: 5.8S ribosomal RNA (5.8S rRNA) is a component of the large subunit of the eukaryotic ribosome. Lineage: Eukaryota; Fungi; Basidiomycota; Agaricomycetes; Cantharellales; Hydnaceae. The record is from RNAcentral.